GGGCCUGUAACUCAGCUUGGGCGCCUUUUCGCUGGCGGCAACGCAUGGCGAAAACGGAGCUAAUGGAGUGCCAGACUUCUAAUCUGGAAGCCGUGGGUUCGAAACCUUUGGCGCGCUCGCGCCUAUCGGCGCUCGCUCGAUAUACGCGCCAAAGCUUUCAUGAAAAGUCCGCCUGUGCACGGAAAUGCCGGGCAUUUCCGGCAUGUCGGGAACUCCGUUCCCGUACACCGGCGCGACGAUGGAAAAUCCCACCAGGCCCGCCA
RNAcentral lists this transfer RNA (263 nucleotides) under Candidatus Aenigmatarchaeota archaeon. RNAcentral's name for it is "tRNA-Arg". The record is from RNAcentral. Lineage: Archaea; Nanobdellati; Candidatus Aenigmatarchaeota.